UACGAAGGGUGCAAGCGUUAAUCGGAAUUACUGGGCGUAAAGCGCGCGUAGGUGGUUCAGUAAGUUGGAUGUGAAAUCCCCGGGCUCAACCUGGGAACUGCAUCCAAAACUGCUGAGCUAGAGUACGGUAGAGGGUGGUGGAAUUUCCUGUGUAGCGGUGAAAUGCGUAGAUAUAGGAAGGAACACCAGUGGCGAAGGCGACCACCUGGACUGAUACUGACACUUAGGUGCGAAAGCGUGGGGAGCAAACAGG
RNAcentral lists this ribosomal RNA (253 nucleotides) under uncultured bacterium. RNAcentral describes it as "partial 16S ribosomal RNA". It matches the Rfam family "Bacterial small subunit ribosomal RNA", at positions 524 to 776 of the family's 1533-position model. The record is from RNAcentral.